AACGAACGCUGGCGGCAUGCCUAACACAUGCAAGUCGAACGAGAUCUUCGGGUCUAGUGGCGCACGGGUGCGUAACGCGUGGGAAUCUGCCCUUUGGUUCGGAAUAACAGUUGGAAACGACUGCUAAUACCGGAUGACGACGAAAGUCCAAAGAUUUAUCGCCAGAGGAUGAGCCCGCGUAGGAUUAGCUAGUUGGUGUGGUAAAGGCGCACCAAGGCGACGAUCCUUAGCUGGUCUGAGAGGAUGAUCAGCCACACUGGGACUGAGACACGGCCCAGACUCCUACGGGAGGCAGCAGUGGGGAAUAUUGGACAAUGGGCGAAAGCCUGAUCCAGCAAUGCCGCGUGAGUGAUGAAGGCCUUAGGGUUGUAAAGCUCUUUUACCCGGGAUGAUAAUGACAGUACCGUGAGAAAAAGCUCCGGCUAACUCCGUGCCAGCAGCCGCCGUAA
This 449-nucleotide ribosomal RNA is filed under the name uncultured bacterium. RNAcentral describes it as "partial 16S ribosomal RNA". It matches the Rfam family "Bacterial small subunit ribosomal RNA", at positions 29 to 523 of the family's 1533-position model. The record is from RNAcentral.